AGUCCCUUCGGGGACAUCCCGAUAAAAUUAGAACAAUGUAGAGAAAAUUAGCAUGUAUCAUGCGCAAGAGUGACACAAAUAAAUUGAGAAAUAGACAAUUAGUAA
Molecule: small nuclear RNA, 105 nt
Organism: Salvia splendens (bonfire salvia)
Lineage: Eukaryota; Viridiplantae; Streptophyta; Magnoliopsida; Lamiales; Lamiaceae
Source: RefSeq, a predicted model, not a curated record